This 891-nucleotide long non-coding RNA is filed under the name Linum usitatissimum (flax). Its description in RNAcentral is "long non-coding RNA (LUSI_LNC006501)". The record is from RNAcentral. Lineage: Eukaryota; Viridiplantae; Streptophyta; Magnoliopsida; Malpighiales; Linaceae.
UUGUAUGUUGCCACAAGGCCACAAUGGGAGACGAUGAGCAUUUAAGUAACAUUAUAUUUACAUAACGGUAUCAUAUACAAAUACAUCCAAAAAGUCCAAAGAGAAGAAGAAAAAAAAUAAAAAGUGUAGCAACAGUAGGGUAGUUGGGAGCAGAAGAAACAAUCAAUGGGUGGGAAGCAGAAACAGAGAAAGCAACGAGCUGCAGUAAUUUAUUUGACAAACAUCGCCGCCGCCAUAACCGACCAAAAACCUACUCCAACUGUCUUCCCUUUCACAUUAACAUUCCCAUCAACGGUUGUGAAGUGGGUCGGAUGCAUUUGGAACUCUUCUUUCGCUGGAGAAGAAGACAUCAAGCGACCGAUGUCGACGGAACCGAAACCGCUUCUGUCGAAGAUGCUGCUUCUUAUGAUCAUCAUGCCUCUCUGUUUUUGGAGUCAGGAGUUGCUCAUGAUCCUCUGCAGCAACAAGUAGUGCAGCCUGGUGAUGAUCAUCCUCUGCUGAAACCCAAAGCAGAUAGAAGAAGACCAGAACGAAAAGCAACUGGAGAUGUUUACAACUUCGCAUUUUUUGGAAUUGGGUUGGAAAACAGAGAGUGAGAGUGAUUGGAAUUCACGGAGAAGAAGGGGAGAAAAAGAGGGUCCGGUCCAGAAAGAGGUGGAGACAAAAUAAAAGGAAAAGUGCAGAGCAGAGCAGAGGAAGAAGCCAAACAGAAGUUCUUAUAAAAGAGAGAACAAAUAUACAAAAAGGCAGAGAGUGAAAAAUUAAAGCUACAUGGCUUUGCUAUAUGCUAGUAGACUAGUAGUAAUUGCUGUUUGAAUCUGACUGACUGUGGAGAAGAAAACUGCAAAAAUUAAAGAGGGAGUGGCAGAAACAGAUAGAGUAGACAGUGAG